CCUACGGGAGGCAGCAGUGGGGAAUCUUGCGCAAUGGGCGAAAGCCUGACGCAGCAACGCCGCGUGCGGGAUGAAGGCCUUCGGGUUGUAAACCGCUUUCAGCAGGGAAGAAAUUGACGGUACCUGCAGAAGAAGCCCCGGCCAACUACGUGCCAGCAGCCGCGGUAACACGUAGGGGGCGAGCGUUGUCCGGAUUUAUUGGGCGUAAAGAGCUCGUAGGCGGUUCGGUAAGUCGGGUGUGAAACCUCCAGGCUCAACCUGGAGACGCCACCUGAAACUGCUGUGACUAGAGUCCGGUAGGGGAGUGUGGAACUCCUGGUGUAGCGGUGAAAUGCGCAGAUAUCAGGAAGAACACCAGCGGCGAAGGCGGCACUCUGGGCCGGUACUGACGCUGAGGAGCGAAAGCGUGGGUAGCAAACAGGAUUAGAUACCCUGGUAGUCCACGCCGUAAACGUUGGGCACUAGGUGUGGGUCUCAACCAACGAGAUCCGUGCCGCAGCUAACGCAUUAAGUGCCCCGCCUGGGGAGUACGGCCGCAGGCUAAAACCGUUAAANGAAUUGAACGG
This 566-nucleotide ribosomal RNA is filed under the name uncultured bacterium. RNAcentral describes it as "bacterial SSU rRNA". It matches the Rfam family "Bacterial small subunit ribosomal RNA", at positions 338 to 917 of the family's 1533-position model. The record is from RNAcentral.